UGAGGUGUCGCCAAGUGGUAAAGGCAUCAGACUUUGACUCUGACACACGCAGGUUCAAAUCCUGCCACCUCAG
This 73-nucleotide transfer RNA is filed under the name Caudoviricetes sp. RNAcentral describes it as "tRNA-Gln". It matches the Rfam family "tRNA". From Rfam's summary of the family: Transfer RNA (tRNA) molecules are approximately 80 nucleotides in length. Lineage: Duplodnaviria; Heunggongvirae; Uroviricota; Caudoviricetes. The record is from RNAcentral.